GCUUUCCAUCAUUGUUCACCAAUAACACGCGCCGUUGCGACGGCGCGUGUUUAGCGGCUG
RNAcentral lists this small RNA (60 nucleotides) under Sinorhizobium meliloti 2011. Its description in RNAcentral is "putative ncRNA". The record is from RNAcentral. Lineage: Bacteria; Pseudomonadati; Pseudomonadota; Alphaproteobacteria; Hyphomicrobiales; Rhizobiaceae.